GGAGACCAGUCCUAGAUUCAGGCAAAUAUGCUGGAUAAUGGUAUUUAAGAUUACAGAGCAAACAGAUUCAGGGUUGUUUCUCAGCAUAGUGUGCAGAUGGCAAACCAGGCUACUAUGGAAUCAGAAUCACAUCACAGUCUCUUAUACACA
Molecule: long non-coding RNA, 150 nt
Organism: Prionailurus viverrinus (fishing cat)
Lineage: Eukaryota; Metazoa; Chordata; Mammalia; Carnivora; Felidae
Exons: 3
Source: RefSeq, a predicted model, not a curated record